ACAAAUAUCACCCAACUCAACUCAAGAAACCCACCCAAUCUAAUCUCGGUAUCAUAUCACUAAAAUAAGAUAAAUGAACAACAAACAACUGCAACUAAUCAAGCCAUUUUUUCUUGCCUUUGAAAAGCAUCGAGUAUAAAUAAACCGAAGAGAACAAAACUCUCCCUGAAUCAAUCCGGAAAACCCCUUUUCCAGCAUAAACAGCGUUAAAUUCCAACCAAAUAUCUCCAAAUUCUAGCAAAAAAAACAGCUCUCCACCAAAUCCGGACAAUUUCUUGUCAAAUCGGCAGGAGAGCUCUUCCGGCAAAAACAAAAUGCUAAAUCUCGGGCUUUAACAAACCCUAGAUGAGCGAUUUCAAUGGUGCAAUCAAAGUCCUAGAUCUCCAUUAAAGAGAGGGAGGGAGGGAGAGAGAGCAAACUAGAGAGAGAAAGUUAUAGAAAGCGUUUAGGAUUCGAGGGAUUAAUACCUACUUAAAUGUAGCCGAAUGGAGAUAAAAAAAAGAGAGGAAAAAG
This 513-nucleotide long non-coding RNA is filed under the name Amborella trichopoda. RNAcentral's name for it is "long non-coding RNA (ATRI_LNC002847)". The record is from RNAcentral. Lineage: Eukaryota; Viridiplantae; Streptophyta; Magnoliopsida; Amborellales; Amborellaceae.